This 370-nucleotide ribosomal RNA is filed under the name uncultured organism. Its description in RNAcentral is "bacterial SSU rRNA". It matches the Rfam family "Bacterial small subunit ribosomal RNA", at positions 526 to 896 of the family's 1533-position model. The record is from RNAcentral.
CGAAGGGGGCUAGCGUUGUUCGGAAUGACUGGGCGUAAAGGGUGUGUAGGCGGUUAGACACGUCAGAUGUGAAAUCCCCGGGCUUAACCUGGGAAUGGCAUUUGAUACGGUAUAGCUAGAGAUUGGUAGAGGGUAGAGGAAUUGCGAGUGUAGAGGUGAAAUUCGUAGAGAUUCGCAGGGACACCGGCGGCGAAGGCGGCUACCUGGGCCAAUACUGACGCUGAGGCACGAGAGCGUGGGGAGCAAACAGGAUUAGAUACCCUGGUAGUCCACGCCGUAAACGAUGAGUGCUAGAUGUUGCGUGUGAACGCAUGCAGUGUCGCAGUUAACGCAUUAAGCACUCCGCCUGGGGAGUACGGUCGCAAGAUUA